This 468-nucleotide ribosomal RNA is filed under the name uncultured bacterium. RNAcentral describes it as "bacterial SSU rRNA". It matches the Rfam family "Bacterial small subunit ribosomal RNA", at positions 28 to 507 of the family's 1533-position model. The record is from RNAcentral.
GACGAACGCUGGCGGCGCGCCUAACACAUGCAAGUCGAACGGAGCUGAGAGGAGCUUGCUUUUCUUAGCUUAGUGGCGAACGGGUGAGUAACGCGUGAGUAACCUGCCCUGGAGUGGGGGACAACAGUUGGAAACGACUGCUAAUACCGCAUAAGCCCACGGCCCGGCAUCGGGCUGCGGGAAAAGGAUUUAUUCGCUUCAGGAUGGACCCGCGUUGGAUUAGCUGGUUGGCAGGGUAACGGCCUACCAAGGCGACGAUCCAUAGCCGGCCUGAGAGGGUGAACGGCCACAUUGGGACUGAGACACGGCCCAGACUCCUACGGGAGGCAGCAGUGGGGAAUAUUGCACAAUGGAGGAAACUCUGAUGCAGCGACGCCGCGUGAGCGAUGAAGUAUUUCGGUAUGUAAAGCUCUAUCAGCAGGGAAGAUAAUGACGGUACCUGAGUAAGAAGCUCCGGCUAAAUACGUG